UAAUACAUAGGGUGCGAGCGUUGUCCGGAAUUAUUGGGCGUAAAGAGCUCGUAGGCGGUGUGUCGCGUCGGUCGUGAAAACUUGGGGCUUAACCCUGAGCUUGCGGUCGAUACGGGCAUCACUGGAGUUCGGCAGGGGAGACUGGAAUUCCUGGUGUAGCGGUGAAAUGCGCAGAUAUCAGGAGGAACACCGGUGGCGAAGGCGGGUCUCUGGGCCGAUACUGACGCUGAGGAGCGAAAGCGUGGGGAGCGAACAG
RNAcentral lists this ribosomal RNA (256 nucleotides) under uncultured prokaryote. RNAcentral describes it as "partial 16S ribosomal RNA". It matches the Rfam family "Bacterial small subunit ribosomal RNA", at positions 521 to 775 of the family's 1533-position model. The record is from RNAcentral.